RNAcentral lists this ribosomal RNA (618 nucleotides) under Rhodotorula diobovata. Its description in RNAcentral is "eukaryotic LSU rRNA". The stretch from base 191 to 344 matches the Rfam family "5.8S ribosomal RNA". The record is from RNAcentral. Lineage: Eukaryota; Fungi; Basidiomycota; Microbotryomycetes; Sporidiobolales; Sporidiobolaceae.
UCCGUAGGUGAACCUGCGGAAGGAUCAUUAGUGAAUCUAGGACGUCCAACUUAACUUGGAGUCCGAACUCUCACUUUCUAACCCUGUGCAUCUGUUUUAAAAUUGGCUAGUAGCUCUUCGGAGCGAACCACCAUUUUUCACUUAUACAAACACAAAGUCUAUGAAUGUAAACAAAUUUAUAACAAAACAAAACUUUCAACAACGGAUCUCUUGGCUCUCGCAUCGAUGAAGAACGCAGCGAAAUGCGAUACGUAAUGUGAAUUGCAGAAUUCAGUGAAUCAUCGAAUCUUUGAACGCACCUUGCGCUCCUUGGUAUUCCGAGGAGCAUGCCUGUUUGAGUGUCAUGAAAUCUUCAACCCACCUCUUUCUUAGUGAAUCUGGUGGUGCUUGGUUUCUGAGCGCUGCUCUGCUUCGGCUUAGCUCGUUCGUAAUGCAUUAGCAUCCGCAACCGAAACUUCGGAUUGACUUGGCGUAAUAGACUAUUCGCUGAGGAUUCCAGACUUGUUCUGGAGCCGAGUUGGGUUAAAGGAAGCUUCUAAUCCUAAAGUCUAUUUUUUGAUUAGAUCUCAAAUCAGGUAGGACUACCCGCUGAACUUAAGCAUAUCAAUAGCCGGAGGA